Molecule: ribosomal RNA, 551 nt
Filed under: uncultured bacterium
Lineage: Bacteria
Description: bacterial SSU rRNA
Rfam family: Bacterial small subunit ribosomal RNA
Source: RNAcentral
GAAAGGCGGGCUAAUACCGAAUGAUAUCUUGAAAACUUAUGUUUUCAGGAUCAAAGGUGGCCUCUACAUGUAAGCUAUUGUUUGGGGAUGAGCCCGCGUACCAUUAGCUUGUUGGUAGGGUAAUGGCCUACCAAGGCUACGAUGGUUAGCUGGUCUGAGAGGAUGAUCAGCCACACUGGAACUGACACACGGUCCAGACUCCUACGGGAGGCAGCAGUGAGGAAUUUUGCGCAAUGGGGGAAACCCUGACGCAGCAACGCCGCGUGAGUGAUGAAGGCUUUCGGGUCGUAAAGCUCUGUCAAGUGGGAAGAACCCAUAUGGUGUUAAUAUCGCCAUAUGCUGACGGUACCACUGAAGGAAGCACCGGCUAACUCCGUGCCAGCAGCCGCGGUAAUACGGGGGGUGCGAGCGUUAUUCGGAAUUACUGGGCGUAAAGAGCGCGUAGGCGGUCUCUUAAGUCAGGUGUGAAAGCCCGGGGCUCAACCCCGGAAGUGCACUUGAAACUAAGAGACUUGAGUAUGGGAGAGGGAAGUGGAAUUCCUGGUGUAGCG